GGGGAAUUUUGGACAAUGGGGGCAACCCUGAUCCAGCCAUGCCGCGUGAGUGAAGAAGGCCUUCGGGUUGUAAAGCUCUUCCGCCCGGGAAGAAAUCGUGCAGCCUAAUCCCCUGUAUGGCUACCGGUCCCGGACUAAAAAGCCCCGGCUACCUACGUCCCAGCAGCCGCGGUAAUACGUAGGGUGCGAGCGUUAAUCGGAAUUACUGGGCGUAAAGCGUGCGCAGGCGGUUUUGUAAGACAGGCGUGAAAUCCCCGGGCUCAACCUGGGAACUGCGCUUGUGACUGCAAGACUAGAGUACGGCAGAGGGGGGUGGAAUUCCACGUGUAGCAGUGAAAUGCGUAGAGAUGUGGAGGAACACCAAUGGCGAAGGCAGCCCCCUGGGUCGAUACUGACGCUCAUGCACGAAAGCGUGGGGAGCAAACA
RNAcentral lists this ribosomal RNA (426 nucleotides) under uncultured Azovibrio sp. Its description in RNAcentral is "bacterial SSU rRNA". It matches the Rfam family "Bacterial small subunit ribosomal RNA", at positions 356 to 774 of the family's 1533-position model. The record is from RNAcentral. Lineage: Bacteria; Pseudomonadati; Pseudomonadota; Betaproteobacteria; Rhodocyclales; Rhodocyclaceae.